RNAcentral lists this ribosomal RNA (253 nucleotides) under uncultured bacterium. RNAcentral's name for it is "partial 16S ribosomal RNA". It matches the Rfam family "Bacterial small subunit ribosomal RNA", at positions 524 to 776 of the family's 1533-position model. The record is from RNAcentral.
UACGAGGGGGGCUAGCGUUGUUCGGAAUUACUGGGCGUAAAGCGCACGUAGGCGGACUCUUAAGUCAGGGGUGAAAUCCCGGGGCUCAACCUCGGAACUGCCUUUGAUACUGUGAGUCUCGAGACCGGAAGAGGUGAGUGGAAUUCCUAGUGUAGAGGUGAAAUUCGUAGAUAUUAGGAAGAACACCAGUGGCGAAGGCGGCUCACUGGUCCGGUGCUGACGCUGAGGUGCGAAAGAGUGGGGAGCAAACAGG